UUUUUGAAGCGAUUAGCUUGCUGAGAGUGGAAAUGUUGGUAACUUAGUGGCGGACGGGUGAGUAACGCGUGGAGAACCUGCCUUACACAGGGGGAUAACACUUAGAAAUAGGUGCUAAUACCGCAUAAGCGCACAGGACCGCAUGGUCCGGUGUGAAAAACUGAGGUGGUGUAAGAUGGCUCCGCGUCUGAUUAGCUUGUUGGUAGGGUAACGGCCUACCAAGGCGACGAUCAGUAGCCGGCCUGAGAGGGUGAACGGCCACAUUGGGACUGAGACACGGCCCAAACUCCUACGGGAGGCAGCAGUGGGGAAUAUUGGACAAUGGGGGAAACCCUGAUCCAGCGACGCCGCGUGAGUGAAGAAGUAUUUCGGUAUGUAAAGCUCUAUCAGCAGGGAAGAAAAUGACGGUACCUGACUAAGAAGCCCCGGCUAACUACGUGCCAGCAGCCGCGGUAAUACGUAGGGGGCAAGCGUUAUCCGGAUUUACUGGGUGUAAAGGGAGCGUAGACGGCAUUGCAAGUCUGAUGUGAAAGAUUGGGGCUCAACCCCAGGCCUGCAUUGGAAACUGUAAAGCUGGAGUACAGGAGAGGUAAGCGGAAUUCCUAGUGUAGCGGUGAAAUGCGUAGAUAUUAGGAGGAACACCAGUGGCGAAGGCGGCUUACUGGACUGUAACUGACGUUGAGGCUCGAAAGCGUGGGGAGCAAACAGGAUUAGAUACCCUGGUAGUCCACGCCGUAAACGAUGAUUACUAGGUGUCGGUGGGCAUGGGCCCA
Molecule: ribosomal RNA, 773 nt
Filed under: uncultured bacterium
Lineage: Bacteria
Description: bacterial SSU rRNA
Rfam family: Bacterial small subunit ribosomal RNA
Source: RNAcentral